This is a long non-coding RNA of Oncorhynchus tshawytscha (Chinook salmon), 361 nucleotides long. Lineage: Eukaryota; Metazoa; Chordata; Actinopteri; Salmoniformes; Salmonidae. The record is from Ensembl.
GGAGCAGGAAGGAGGGAAGGAGGGAGUCAACAGCCCAGAGCCCAGCCGACUGAUGGAGCAGGGAAGGAGGGAAGGAGGGAGUCAACAGCCCAGAGCCCAGCCGACUGACGGUGCAGGAAGGAGGGAAGGAGGGAGUCAACAGCCCAGAGCCCAGCCGACUGAUGGAGCAGGAAGGAGGGAAGGAGAGAGUCAACAGCCCAGAGCCCAGCCGACUGAUGGAGCAGGAAGGAGUGAAGGAGAGAGUCAACAGCCCAGAGCCCAGCCGACUGAUGGAGCAGAGAAGGAGGGAAGGAGAGAGUCAACAGCCCAGAGCCCAGCCGACUGAUGGAGCAGGAAGGAGGGAAGGAGAGAGUCAACAGCC